Molecule: ribosomal RNA, 443 nt
Filed under: uncultured bacterium
Lineage: Bacteria
Description: partial 16S ribosomal RNA
Rfam family: Bacterial small subunit ribosomal RNA
Source: RNAcentral
CCUACGGGAGGCAUCAGUGGGGAAUAUUGGACAAUGGGCGCAAGCCUGACCCAGCAACGCCGCGUGAAGGAAGAAGGCUUUCGGGUUGUAAACUUCUUUUCUCAGGGACGAAGAAAGUGACGGUACCUGAGGAAUAAGCCACGGCUAACUACGUGCCAGCAGCCGCGGUAAUACGUAGGUGGCAAGCGUUAUCCGGAUUUACUGGGUGUAAAGGGCGUGUAGGCGGGAAAGCAAGUCAGAUGUGAAAACCAUGGGCUCAACCUGUGGCCUGCAUUUGAAACUGUUUUUCUUGAGUACUGGGGAGGCAGACGGAAUUCGUCGUGUAGCGGUGAAAUGCGUAGAUAUGAGGAGGAACACCAGUGGCGAAGGCGGUCUGCUGGACAGCAACUGACGCUGAGGCGCGAAAGCGUGGGGAGCAAACAGGAUUAGAUACCCCAGUAGUC